RNAcentral lists this long non-coding RNA (1377 nucleotides) under Homo sapiens (human). Its description in RNAcentral is "HSALNT0364606". Lineage: Eukaryota; Metazoa; Chordata; Mammalia; Primates; Hominidae. The record is from RNAcentral.
CUGAGAAAGCACGCAGGGUUUUCAAGUUUAGCAUCUCCCCACCUGCUACAGGUUCUGUGCUAUGUCUGCAUUCCAAAUUCACACCCCUCCACACACCCUCAGAUUCUCUCCAGGAAACUUUGUGUUCGGUGAAAACUGUUACAAAUUCAGCUAGAAGUUUCCUUCUCCCUGUGGUCUUUUCUCAGUUCCUCUGGCAGCCCUCCCCAAGGACCUCUGUGAGACAAACUCAGAAACGGCUUCCCUUGGGACAUAAAGACCCCACAGGGCUCAUCCCUCUGCUUCUUCUACCCCUGUACUUUGCUCAGCUCACUAAAUUUGUCUCAGCUCCAGACAGCAAACUGCCUAAACUACAAAGGGAAAGGUCUAUGGUCCUAUAAGAGUUUACCUUGCAAGCAAGAUCAACAUUUUCUUGGGGAAAGAAGCCAAAUAAAGCCAAGAGUUUGUAUACAUCUUCCAAAUAUCCUGAGCUACAGAAAAGAAGAAAGGGUCAGAAAGAAGAUUCUCUCUGCUAGUCUCGCAUGGUUCUGAACACAUAGUAAAUGCUGAAUUACUAUUUCCUAAAUUAUCAUAAAGCUGAGAAGAAUCAUGAUUCUCAAACUUCACCUUGGAAUUAAAAUGGAUUUCCUUGAGAAGCACAUAUGAGGUAAGCAGACCUCUCCUGUGAUGUUCUGGAUAUGCCUGUCUCAACAGAUUUCAGGGUGGCCGUCUUCUCUGCAAAUUCAGUUCUCUGAUGUGUCCAAGGCCUUCAUUAUCUCACUUCACAAGAAGUCAGGUGCCAAGCAGAUCCAAGCUCAUUCAGAGGCUGCACCAUGUCAACUGGGACCCAGGUUUCAUCCAUGUUUCUGCUCUGUCAUUAUGUCAUACUCCAAGGGAGUCGCCAGAUGACUGCUGCAGCUGAGGCUUUUCUUUCACAGCAUCUAACAGAGGUAUGGGGAGGGUUUUCCCACACACCCCUUUUUUACAGGAAGGCACACCUGUUCCAGAAAUCUCUAAGAAAGUUCUUUUGCUAAAUGGCCAGGGUGUAGUCACAGCCCAUACUUAAACCAAUGACUGUUGCUGAUCAUGACUUUGCCAUGAUUGCCUUAGACUUAUCAAAUUUUCUCACCCCCAGGCUGGGGAGAGGCUCCAUGAAGCACGUGGUUUCCUAAUACCAGAAGAAAAUUCAAGCCUUUUAACAUGGCAGUCCACAGUGGUAGGAGGCGGAAAGAGACUUUGGGUAUUCAGAAAUGGUUUAUCACCUUCUACUUCUUUGGCUGCAUGAUACUCAGAGAUACCAUUCAUGUCUAUAUCUAAAUGACACUCAUUUUUUUCCUUUCUAAAUGGAGCACCUGGCUCCAAGUUCUGGACAUCUGGGUGAUGCAGUGUUUUCUUCAUUUA